RNAcentral lists this ribosomal RNA (429 nucleotides) under Gemmatimonadota bacterium. Its description in RNAcentral is "Gemmatimonadetes bacterium partial 16S ribosomal RNA". It matches the Rfam family "Bacterial small subunit ribosomal RNA", at positions 355 to 776 of the family's 1533-position model. The record is from RNAcentral. Lineage: Bacteria; Pseudomonadati; Gemmatimonadota.
UAGGGAAUCUUCGGCAAUGGACGAAAGUCUGACCGAGCAACGCCGCGCGAGUGAAGAAGGUUUUCGGAUCGUAAAACUCUGUUGUUAGAGAAGAACAAGGACGUUAGUAACUGAACGUCCCCUGACGGUAUCUAACCAGAAAGCCACGGCUAACUACGUGCCAGCAGCCGCGGUAAUACGUAGGUGGCAAGCGUUGUCCGGAUUUAUUGGGCGUAAAGCGAGCGCAGGCGGUUUCUUAAGUCUGAUGUGAAAGCCCCCGGCUCAACCGGGGAGGGUCAUUGGAAACUGGGAGACUUGAGUGCAGAAGAGGAGAGUGGAAUUCCAUGUGUAGCGGUGAAAUGCGUAGAUAUAUGGAGGAACACCAGUGGCGAAGGCGGCUCUCUGGUCUGUAAAUGACGCUGAGGCUCGAAAGCGUGGGGAGCAAACAGG